Long non-coding RNA from Homo sapiens (human), 1143 nucleotides. Ensembl annotates it as mir-100-let-7a-2-mir-125b-1 cluster host gene. Its record names the gene MIR100HG. Lineage: Eukaryota; Metazoa; Chordata; Mammalia; Primates; Hominidae. The record is from Ensembl.
AAUCGCUGUCAAUUUCAGGAAACUAUAGGAACACUAGGAACAGACGCCUAAAUGACUUUGACCUCAAGUGCAAGUACUUAGGUGAAGAUCCCGGUGUUACACAUCCAAUCGUUCACCUCCUUCCAAGACUAUGACAUUCCAGGAAACCUUCACUGCUAAGAGGAACUAAGAUCUAGAGUAUCUCCUCGAGGAAGUACAACUGACUUGUCUUUGGACAAAAUUGAGAAGAACUCAUAAACUUGGCUUCCUCGCUUCUGCUCCUCAGACGCGCGUGGAUGAUUUGAAGAUAUUAGCCUAACAAGAUGGAAGCAGGUUUAAAAUUUUACAUAAGAAGUUACCUUUUUCAGGUAAUGGUGUUUUUCUGUAAUUUUCCCAAACCUUUCGCUUCCUCAAGUAUUGCAAAUUUUUAGGGCAUGCUUGAAUGAUUUAAUUAUGAAGAAUAACUACAUUUUAAACUUAAUUUUUUAAAAAAGAAACCAGUUUUAUAAUUUUCCUAGCCAAGGAGUAGAGCAGGCAUGACAUUCAACUCUAUGGAGUUUGGAAAAUUUUUAGAAAUUUAUUACUGAACAGCACUUGGUUUUUUGGAUUUGAAAAUUAAGCCAUAGAGCUACAACUAAAUUCUGUUUUGCCAAACUUCACAGCACCAGCAGGCUCUGAGCAAUCAUAAGCAUUUGAAACUAGCAGGCACUGCCCCUUAACUCUGUCGCUAUCUUGGGCAUUUGAAUGAAAAAAUAUAAGUAUUACAGGAUUGGCUCUAAAAAGCCUACCAUGUGUUCUGAAUUCCUGGAAGAUAGAGCUUAUAUAAAUUACAUAAUAACAAUAUUGAUUUUUUUUUUUACUUUAGUCAUAGAUUGGCAAUACUAUAUGGCACUUUAUGAAACUAUUCCCAUGCAUAUAUUCAGUGAGUAGGAUUUGAUCUUAGCUUUCAUGAUACAGGCAGUUUCCUUUUAGUGUCAUUGAAGGGCUUUAUGCCACCUAAAAAUGUUUAAUAACAUAAAUUAUAUAUUUGCUUUAUAAGUUACAUUACUCGGCCUUUGUCACUGCUUAUCAGCAUUAACCCAUAUUUUCCAACUUGUUAAUAUUACUAAGAGAGCCCACGGAUUCUUGCUUAAUGAAGCAAGCCAAAAUUUCUUCUGAAAAAAA